UGGCGGCGUGCCUAAUACAUGCAAGUAGAACGCUGAAGACUUUAGCUUGCUAAAGUUGGAAGAGUUGCGAACGGGUGAGUAACGCGUAGGUAACCUGCCUACUAGCGGGGGAUAACUAUUGGAAACGAUAGCUAAUACCGCAUAACAGCAUUUAACCCAUGUUAGAUGCUUGAAAGGAGCAAUUGCUUCACUAGUAGAUGGACCUGCGUUGUAUUAGCUAGUUGGUGAGGUAACGGCUCACCAAAGGCGACGAUACAUAGCCGACCUGAGAGGGUGAUCGGCCACACUGGGACUGAGACACGGCCCAGACUCCUACGGGAGGCAGCAGUAGGGAAUCUUCGGCAAUGGGGGCAACCCUGACCGAGCAACGCCGCGUGAGUUGAGAAGGUUUUCGGAUCGUAAAGCUCUGUUGUAAGAGAAGAACGUGUGUGAGAGUGGAAAGUUCACACAGUGACGGUAACUUACCAGAAAGGGACGGCUAACUACGUGCCAGCAGCCGC
This 500-nucleotide ribosomal RNA is filed under the name uncultured bacterium. Its description in RNAcentral is "bacterial SSU rRNA". It matches the Rfam family "Bacterial small subunit ribosomal RNA", at positions 37 to 518 of the family's 1533-position model. The record is from RNAcentral.